UAGGGAAUCUUCCGCAAUGGACGCAAGUCUGACGGAGCAACGCCGCGUGAGUGAUGAAGGUCUUCGGAUCGUAAAACUCUGUUGUUAGUGAAGAACAAGUACCGUUCAAAUAGGUCGGUACCUUGACGGUAACUAACGAGAAAGCCACGGCUAACUACGUGCCAGCAGCCGCGGUAAUACGUAGGUGGCAAGCGUUGUCCGGAAUUAUUGGGCGUAAAGGGCGCGCAGGCGGCCGAUUAAGUCUGAUGUGAAAUCCCACGGCUUAACCGUGGAAGGUCAUUGGAAACUGAUUGGCUUGAGUGCAGAAGAGGAGAGUGGAAUUCCACGUGUAGCGGUGAAAUGCGUAGAUAUGUGGAGGAACACCAGUGGCGAAGGCGGCUCUCUGGUCUGCAACUGACGCUGAGGCGCGAAAGCGUGGAUAGCAAACA
This 428-nucleotide ribosomal RNA is filed under the name uncultured Bacillus sp. RNAcentral describes it as "bacterial SSU rRNA". It matches the Rfam family "Bacterial small subunit ribosomal RNA", at positions 355 to 774 of the family's 1533-position model. The record is from RNAcentral. RNAcentral also lists the same sequence under 1 other name. Lineage: Bacteria; Bacillati; Bacillota; Bacilli; Caryophanales; Bacillaceae.